GUGGUGUUUGGAUCGUCUCUGCCGGCUGGCUCCGUGCCCGUCCACCGAACGGCCGGCAGGCGAUCCGCGUCGGUCGCGCGAGGUGGUGUUAUGUAUGGUUACCCAGAGGCCGGUUCUUGUGUUGCCUACCCCUUCAGGGGAAGCGCAUGCCACUUGAUGUAAAAGCCUCCACCCGGCGCCCUCCAGUGGGCGCCGGAGGACAGCGGAGCACCCCCCGCGUUCCACCGAGCCCCCGUCGGUCGCGUGGCAAGCGGGGACGUGCGAUGCUCUCGGACCCAGCGCACGCCGUGGGCGAGGACUCGCGUCCCAGUCCCAAGAGAAAGCUUCGAUGCGAUGUCGACGGCCGCUCCCGCCCCCGACCGCCCCGGCGGCGCGAGGGCGAGGCGCGGCGUCUCGGAGGAAUGCUACCU
This 410-nucleotide unclassified non-coding RNA is filed under the name Acacia shuttleworthii. RNAcentral's name for it is "partial external transcribed spacer". The record is from RNAcentral. Lineage: Eukaryota; Viridiplantae; Streptophyta; Magnoliopsida; Fabales; Fabaceae.